AUGCAAGUCGCACGAGAAAGGGGAGCAAUCCCUGAGUACAGUGGCGUACGGGUGAGUAACACGUGGAUAAUCUACCUUCUAGUGGGGAAUAACCCUGGGAAACCGGGGCUAAUACCGCAUAAGCUCGAGAGAGGAAAGCAGCAAUGCGCUGGAAGAGGAGUCCGCGGCCGAUUAGCUAGUUGGCAGGGUAAAAGCCUACCAAGGCAAAGAUCGGUAGCCGGCCUGAGAGGGCACACGGCCACACUGGCACUGAAACACGGGCCAGACUCCUACGGGAGGCAGCAGUGGGGAAUCUUGCACAAUGGGGGAAACCCUGAUGCAGCGACGCCGCGUGAACGAUGAAGCCCUUCGGGGUGUAAAGUUCUUUCGGCAGGGAAGAUAAUGACGGUACCUGCAGAAGCAGCUGCGGCUAACUACGUGCCAGCAGCCGCGGUAAUACGUAGGCAGCGAGCGUUGUUCGGAGUUACUGGGCGUAAAGGGUGCGUAGGCGGUUGUUUAAGUUUGGUGUGAAAUCUCCCGGCUCAACUGGGAGGGUGCGCCGAAUACUGAAUGACUAGAGUGCGGGAGAGGAUAGUGGAAUUCCUGGUGUAGCGGUGAAAUGCGUAGAUAUCAGGAGGAACACCGGUGGUGUAGACGGCUAUCUGGACCGUAACUGACGCUGAGGCACGAAAGCGUGGGUAGCAAACAGGAUUAGAUACCCUGGUAGUCCACGCCCUAAACGAUGCAUAUUUGGUGUGGGCAGUUCAGUCUGUCCGUGCCGGAGCUAACGCGUUAAAUAUGCCGCCUGGGGAGUACAGUCGCAAGGCUGAAACUCAAAGGAAUUGACGGGGGCCCGCACAAGCGGUGGAGCAUGUGGUUCAAUUCGACGCAACGCGAAGAACCUUACCU
RNAcentral lists this ribosomal RNA (888 nucleotides) under uncultured bacterium. Its description in RNAcentral is "bacterial SSU rRNA". It matches the Rfam family "Bacterial small subunit ribosomal RNA", at positions 55 to 976 of the family's 1533-position model. The record is from RNAcentral.